This is a long non-coding RNA of Chenopodium quinoa (quinoa), 2348 nucleotides long. RefSeq lists it as uncharacterized. The record is from RefSeq and is a predicted model, not a curated record. NCBI's taxonomy places the organism in Eukaryota, Viridiplantae, Streptophyta, Magnoliopsida, Caryophyllales, Amaranthaceae. The transcript has 12 exons.
AAAGAUAUAGAAAUGAAAAGCAUUAGAAGGUUAUCCUGACGUCUUAGCUAUGCACACUCUCUCUAUAGGCUUGAAAUCUAUCUCCCUCCACGGAUUUUGACUCAACUCCUCUAGAGUCUAAAGGUAUUUUAUUGGUUGUAACAUCUGGGUUAGGGUAAAAGGUGGGGCAAAAAUUUGAAAAUUUGGUGGUAUUUCUUAAGUGAAGCAAAAGAGAGGCCCUCUCUCAAAAGCAAGUGCCCACCGUCGACCAUUGCUGGUUCUGCCUGCUCCGGUCGCACACACCACCGUCCUUGUGCUCCACCACCACCGUCCAACAGCUGGCCACCAGAUAAGACCUGAAGAAAGGCAUUCAUGUUGAAAACCUAAGAGUUAGAGGUCACUAGUGCUCGAGAUGUUAUGCAACAGCUUCUUCAGGGUGCUGCAAACAGAAAGGUGGCUGCCACUAACAUGAAUAGAGCAAGUAGUCGUUCUCACAGUGUAUUCACCUGUGUUAUUGAGAGUACUUGGGAAUCCCAAGGUGUAACACAUAAUCGCCUUGCUCGACUAAAUCUUGUAGAUUUAGUUGGCUCUGAAAGGCAAAAGAGUUCUGGUGCAGAAGGUGACCGUCUUAAAGAAGCCACAAAUAUCAAUAAGUCAUUGUCAACUUUAGACUCGCGAUAAUGAACCUCAUGAGCAUAUCCAAUGGAAAAUCCCAUCACGUGCCAUAUCGAGAUUCAAAAUUAACCUUUUUGCUUUAGGUAUUUUCUAACACAAUUUUUUGCUCAUUAAUCUGCCAAGGAAUUUUAUUUGCAAGUCUGACUUGAGCUGUACUUUGGAAUUCAACUCACUUGGAGGGAAUGUAAAAACUACUAUAAUUGCUAAUAUUAGUCCAUCCAACUGGUUAGUGCUUCCUACAUCCCUUUUCUUUUUAAUCGUCACUUUCAUCUAUAAUGCAAUGGGAAUCUAAACCAGGCAAAGUGUUUAGUUUGUAUCUCGUACACAUGGUAGUGUUGAUUUAGCAAUCUCGAAUAAUUCUCUUCUAUUUUGAGGUGAUGGCAGAGUUUAUAAUUUUGCUUAAGCAGAUACAGAGUAUUUCCUAUUUUUUCUUUAUCUCGAGUUCCAAAUAUAGAAGGUAGAUUUUUCUGUGUUUAGAACUUUAUUCCUUGAUAUAACUUUUCGGCUUCUUGCAGCUGCUCACUGGAGACUCUUAGUACCCUGAAGUUUCAGCGUGCUAAAUUUAUAAAGAACAAUGCCGUUGUAAACGAAGAUGCUUUUGGUGAUGUCCUUGCCAUGAGAAUGCAAAUUCAGCAAUUGAAGGGAUUUUUGGGUCAAAUACCUAGCGACAAACUCCUAUGUUCCUUCACUGAAACGCAGUCAAGAGAUAGAGUGCAGUAUGUGCUUAGAACGUGUGCUCGCUAAGAUAGCAGCCUCUGAACGGAAGUUUGGUUUGCUAUCAGAAUGUGACCACCCAUUUUGUAUAACUUGCAUCAGAUUUUGGCGUAACAGCUCACCAACCUAUGGAAUAAAUGUUAAUUCCACAUUGAGGGCUUGUCCUAUAUGUCGUAACAGCUACAGUGGAAUCACAUAAAUUCUAUGAGGAUUUGAAGCCACCCAGCUCUCCAAGCCCAUCUUCUCCUGGUAACUCUCGUGAAGAAUCUUUGGAGACUUCAACACCUGUGGAUGGUGUACCACAGUUCAUUGAUGGAAACGGAUCCUUGGCAGAAGAUGUUCAAGAGGAAUUGAUUUUUUACCACUCACCAUUCCCUGUAUAUGAAGACUUGAAGCCCCCUACUUCGCUAACCCCAACAACUCCUAAUUCAUUGGCCACUUCCAUGGCCUCGGAUGGUGCUGAAUCUCAGACAGCUAGCUUGUCAAAUAAUGGUCCAGUUGAAUCUAUGGAAGCAUAAGAUGCAGGGAAUGAGCAGACUUCCGCACAGCCAAAGCCAAGACCACUUUCAACGUAUACAAUGCUGGUUCUGACUUCUGGUUUGUUCUGACUUUGAGAUUCAUUGGUUUGUUCUGACUUCUGGGAUUCAUUCUCCUUUUUGCUCUCUUGUGAGCAACUGUACAUUGACAUCUCAAGUUCUGAAUUUAAUUCAUAUUAUGAGGCAGAAGUUUAGUGGCAUCUUAACUGUGUACAUCGAAUAUUAUAGCUUUGGAAAGUUUUUCUUCAUGUCUGAUGUAGAUGAGUAAAGGUCAUUGCACUCGACUAAUGCUAUGAUCGGAAUGCUUCUAAUGCCAGCUUAGUCUGCCUGAGAGCCUUUUGCGUGUCCAUGUUGUUUGUGCUUAUGUAACAUUGUAUGUUAUUUAUUCUUUGACGAAAAUUGUAAUAUUACAGCCUUUUAUAAUGAAAAUAUGUAACUUUAUAU